CGCUAUAGAAGCUAAACAGGGCAAAGCAUUAGCCUUUUAAGCUAAAAAAUGGUGCCUCCCAACCACCCUUAGCGA
RNAcentral lists this transfer RNA (75 nucleotides) under Calamus penna (sheepshead porgy). RNAcentral's name for it is "tRNA-Lys". It matches the Rfam family "tRNA". Rfam says of the family: Transfer RNA (tRNA) molecules are approximately 80 nucleotides in length. Their secondary structure includes four short double-helical elements and three loops (D, anti-codon, and T loops). Further hydrogen bonds mediate the characteristic L-shaped molecular structure. tRNAs have two regions of fundamental functional importance: the anti-codon, which is responsible for specific mRNA codon recognition, and the 3' end, to which the tRNAs corresponding amino acid is attached (by aminoacyl-tRNA synthetases). tRNAs cope with the degeneracy of the genetic code in two manners: having more than one tRNA (with a specific anti-codon) for a particular amino acid; and 'wobble' base-pairing, i.e. permitting non-standard base-pairing at the 3rd anti-codon position. The record is from RNAcentral. Lineage: Eukaryota; Metazoa; Chordata; Actinopteri; Spariformes; Sparidae.